This 368-nucleotide ribosomal RNA is filed under the name uncultured organism. RNAcentral's name for it is "bacterial SSU rRNA". It matches the Rfam family "Bacterial small subunit ribosomal RNA", at positions 526 to 896 of the family's 1533-position model. The record is from RNAcentral.
CGGAGGGAGCUAGCGUUGUUCGGAAUUACUGGGCGUAAAGAGCGCGUAGGCGGUCUGUAAAGUUAGGAGUGAAAGCCCAAGGCUUAACCUUGGAACUGCUCUUAAAACUCACAGACUAGAGAUUGGUAGAGGAUGGUGGAAUUCCUAGUGUAGAGGUGAAAUUCGUAGAUAUUAGGAGGAACACCGGUGGCGAAGGCGGCCAUCUGGGCCAACACUGACGCUGAGGCGCGAAAGCGUGGGGAGCAAACAGGAUUAGAUACCCUGGUAGUCCACGCCGUAAACGAUGAGUGCUAGAUAUCGGGACUUUAGUUUCGGUGUCAAAGCUAACGUAUUAAGCACUCCGCCUGGGGAGUACGGUCGCAAGAUUA